GAAACAACCCAGACCGCCAGCUAAGGUCCCAAAGUCAUGGUUAAGUGGGAAACGAUGUGGGAAGGCCCAGACAGCCAGGAUGUUGGCUUAGAAGCAGCCAUCAUUUAAAGAAAGCGUAAUAGCUCACUGGUCGAGUCGGCCUGCGCGGAAGAUGUAACGGGGCUAAACCAUGCACCGAAGCUGCGGCAGCGACGCUGAUGCGUUGUUGGGUAGGGGAGCGUUCUGUAAGCCUGCGAAGGUGGCCUGUGAGGGUUGCUGGAGGUAUCAGAAGUGCGAAUGCUGACAUAAGUAACGAUAAAGCGGGUGAAAAGCCCGCUCGCCGGAAGACCAAGGGUUCCUGUCCAACGUUAAUCGGGGCAGGGUGAGUCGACCCCUAAGGCGAGGCCGAAAGGCGUAGUCGAUGGGAAACGGGUUAAUAUUCCCGUACUUGGUGUUACUGCGAAGGGGGGACGGAGAAGGCUAUGUUGGCCGGGCGACGGUUGUCCCGGUUUAAGCGUGUAGGUGUGUGUUCCAGGUAAAUCCGGUUCACUUUAACACUGAGGCGUGAUGACGAGGCACUACGGUGCUGAAGCAACAAAUGCCCUGCUUCCAGGAAAAGCCUCUAAGCAUCAGGUAACAUCAAAUCGUACCCCAAACCGACACAGGUGGUCAGGUAGAGAAUACCAAGGCGCUUGAGAGAACUCGGGUGAAGGAACUAGGCAAAAUGGUGCCGUAACUUCGGGAGAAGGCACGCUGACA
RNAcentral lists this ribosomal RNA (738 nucleotides) under Salmonella enterica. RNAcentral's name for it is "partial 23S ribosomal RNA". It matches the Rfam family "Bacterial large subunit ribosomal RNA", at positions 1019 to 1756 of the family's 2925-position model. The record is from RNAcentral. Lineage: Bacteria; Pseudomonadati; Pseudomonadota; Gammaproteobacteria; Enterobacterales; Enterobacteriaceae.